CAGCGCACUCCGGGGUCGGUGAAACUCCGAACCGGCGGUUAAAGUCCGCGACCCGGUCGCUUUCCAGCGAACGGUUGACCAGGUGGAAUUCCUGGACCGACGGUCAAAGUCCGGAUGGGAGGCAGUGCGCGG
Molecule: non-coding RNA, 132 nt
Filed under: Streptomyces sp.
Lineage: Bacteria; Bacillati; Actinomycetota; Actinomycetes; Kitasatosporales; Streptomycetaceae
Also listed under: 1 other name
Description: FMN sequence
Rfam family: FMN riboswitch aptamer (RFN element)
About the family: The RFN element is a highly conserved domain that is found frequently in the 5'-untranslated regions of prokaryotic mRNAs that encode for flavin mononucleotide (FMN) biosynthesis and transport proteins. This element is a metabolite-dependent riboswitch that directly binds FMN in the absence of proteins.
Source: RNAcentral